This 525-nucleotide ribosomal RNA is filed under the name uncultured bacterium. Its description in RNAcentral is "bacterial SSU rRNA". It matches the Rfam family "Bacterial small subunit ribosomal RNA", at positions 355 to 896 of the family's 1533-position model. The record is from RNAcentral.
UGGGGAAUAUUGGACAAUGGGGGAAACCCUGAUCCAGCCAUGCCGCGUGAGUGAUGAAGGCCUUAGGGUUGUAAAGCUCUUUCAGCGGGGAAGAUGAUGACGGUACCCGCAGAAGAAGCCCCGGCUAACUUCGUGCCAGCAGCCGCGGUAAUACGAAGGGGGCUAGCGUUGUUCGGAAUUACUGGGCGUAAAGCGCACGUAGGCGGCUUGAUAAGUCAAAGGUGAAAGCCCUCGGCUCAACCGAGGAACUGCCCUUGAUACUGUCUCGCUCGAGGCCGGGAGAGGGUGGUGGAAUUCCCAGUGUAGCGGUGAAAUGCGUAGAUAUUGGGAGGAACACCCGUGGCGAAGGCGGCCACCUGGACCGGUUCUGACGCUGAGGCGCGAAAGCGUGGGGAGCAAACAGGAUUAGAUACCCUGGUAGUCCACGCUGUAAACGAUGGGUACUCGGUGCUGCGGGUGUCGACCCCUGCAGUGCCUUAGCUAACGCGUUAAGUACCCCGCCUGGGGAGUACGGUCGCAAGGCUG